GUGGCUAUAGCUCAGUUGGUUAGAGCGCCGGGUUGUGGUCCCGGAGGUCGCGGGUUCAAAUCCCGUUAGUCACC
This 74-nucleotide transfer RNA is filed under the name Planctomycetaceae bacterium. RNAcentral's name for it is "tRNA-His". It matches the Rfam family "tRNA". Rfam says of the family: Transfer RNA (tRNA) molecules are approximately 80 nucleotides in length. The record is from RNAcentral. Lineage: Bacteria; Pseudomonadati; Planctomycetota; Planctomycetia; Planctomycetales; Planctomycetaceae.